UGCAGUCGAGCGAAUGGAUUAAGAGCUUGCUCUUAUGAAGUUAGCGGCGGCACGGGUGAGUAACACGUGGGUAACCUGCCCAUAAGACUGGGAUAACUCCGGGAAACCGGGGCUAAUACCGGAUAACAUUUUGAACCGCAUGGUUCGAAAUUGAAAGGCGGCUUCGGCUGUCACUUAUGGAUGGACCCGCGUCGCAUUAGCUAGUUGGUGAGGUAACGGCUCACCAAGGCAACGAUGCGUAGCCGACCUGAGAGGGUGAUCGGCCACACUGGGACUGAGACACGGCCCAGACUCCUACGGGAGGCAGCAGUAGGGAAUCUUCCGCAAUGGACGAAAGUCUGACGGAGCAACGCCGCGUGAGUGAUGAAGGCUUUCGGGUCGUAAAACUCUGUUGUUAGGGAAGAACAAGUGCUAGUUGAAUAAGCUGGCACCUUGACGGUACCUAACCAGAAAGCCACGGCUAACUACGUGCCAGCAGCCGCGGUAAUACGUAGGUGGCAAGCGUUAUCCGGAAUUAUUGGGCGUAAAGCGCGCGCAGGUGGUUUCUUAAGUCUGAUGUGAAAGCCCACGGCUCAACCGUGGAGGGUCAUUGGAAACUGGGAGACUUGAGUGCAGAAGAGGAAAGUGGAAUUCCAUGUGUAGCGGU
This 646-nucleotide ribosomal RNA is filed under the name Bacillus sp. (in: firmicutes). Its description in RNAcentral is "bacterial SSU rRNA". It matches the Rfam family "Bacterial small subunit ribosomal RNA", at positions 56 to 682 of the family's 1533-position model. Lineage: Bacteria; Bacillati; Bacillota; Bacilli; Caryophanales; Bacillaceae. The record is from RNAcentral.